AUGGUCAUCAUCUGGUGAAGAAGAAAAGUUACAACUUUGAUGCACUAUUGUCAUCGCUAAUUAUUCCUGGGAUUGGUCUUGGAUAGGAUACAUAUUGUACUUGGAACAUUUGCAAGACUAUCAAGCAAGGUGUAGCAUUCUCUUGGUAGAAAAUCGUUGGAGAAAUAUCUAGGUGUUGAUGCUGGAAGUACAAGAUGUUAAUAAAUUUUACAAUUAGCUUGCUACUCUAAACUCGAUCAUUUUGUUUAGUAUUUUGACUACUACUGUAUUCGCAGCGACAUUUUAGUUUGU
This 291-nucleotide long non-coding RNA is filed under the name Rosa chinensis. RNAcentral's name for it is "sRNA RchiOBHm_Chr1g0327361". Lineage: Eukaryota; Viridiplantae; Streptophyta; Magnoliopsida; Rosales; Rosaceae. The record is from RNAcentral.